CUGAACUUCUGAAGCAAAGAAUUCCAAACUGAGGUCCGGGCUUCCAAUUGGAGCCUUGAAGAGGCUAGUCCAUGGCCGAGGUUCAUUGGAAAUAAGAGCAGGAGGCCGCGAUCUAGAGCGCGACCUACUUUGAUGCUGCUUCGUCAAAGGAACAUCUCGCCGAAAAGAAGGUAUUGGACGAGCAACUUGAGAAGGGAGCCUCACCGUCGAAUCUACCCUCUCGCCACCAUCACCAGAC
RNAcentral lists this long non-coding RNA (238 nucleotides) under Musa acuminata (dwarf banana). RNAcentral's name for it is "long non-coding RNA (MACU_LNC008979)". The record is from RNAcentral. Lineage: Eukaryota; Viridiplantae; Streptophyta; Magnoliopsida; Zingiberales; Musaceae.